UAUGAUGUUUCGAGUGAGAAAAAUUAUAGAGUUGUAAACCGUGCAUAAUUAAAACCAGGUUCACCUAAUACCUGUCUCGAUUUUAAACAUCCUGAGUCUAUAAUUUUUUGUAUGCCAUCGAAAAAAUAUAUUCUUUCGACAUAAACAAAGUUGAUCAGAUUGUUGAUAUUCUUUUGAAGGAUCAACAAAUAUUGUUUAUUUAUGACAAUAAAAUGUCUUUGCUCGAACAAAUUUGAGCAAUAAUGUAUUGUAAAGUUCAUAAUACUUUCAACCAUCACACUAACUCUUGUCUUUGUUUCAGGGGUACAAUAGAGAGAGCAAUCGAGAAUGCAACAUACAUAUGAUAUGUAUUAACUUUGAACAAAUGUAUGCUCCAACCUUGAUAUAGUUUGCAUAUGCAGUAAAACCAUUGAAAUUUAAUUUUUAUCAUGUUCAAAAUCCUACACAAAAGAAACGAUUUAUUCAUAUUGUUGAUAAAUUCGUAUUCCAAUUUUAAAAAUCAACGACAACACUAGCACAUACAUUAGCUACAAUUUUACUAAAGCCUACGUUCACAUGAAAUCAAACAAAAAAUUUAUUCUUUUGUGAUUUCCCCUUUAUGUCAUUAAAAGUUACGUAAUAAUAGAAAAUUUGUAAAUUAAGUAAGUUUGUUUUUUAUGUUACCUCUUUACUAAGAAUACUAAAAAGACACAUAACACUUUGAUGUAUCUAAGACAAAUUGAAUUAUAAGUGUUCUAAAAAGACGAACACAACACACUCAAAUAAUUAAGACACAUUUAAUAAAGAUUAUAAUUUUAGGAAGGUAUUUUACUUCUCCAUCAACUCUAAAAAUUAGCUAUAAAUAUCCUUUCUCUUUAUGCAUUAAAUAUAUUUGUUGUUUAUUAUGUGCAAAGAUAAUGAUCAUCAACAUUGUAAGUCAUAAUUAAAAAUAUAAAGUAAUUAAACAAGGUAGUUGAUGGACGAAAGGGAAAUAUUGACAAUUGCUCCAAAUGGUAAUAAGUAAUAAAGUAGUAAGUUAUUGUGUUCAUAAGGAUUAUCGUUUAACUUGGUAAUUAGCGAAAUUUAUCAUGAACAGUUGGAAACCAUUUUUCAUUAACAAUUCUUUAGAGAAGAAAUGAAAGUGAGUGCCAUUGAUUAAACAAGGAUUUAAAACAGAGAUGAUGAAUCAUUAUAAAAUUACAUCAGUAGAUUUAGAUUGAUGAAUGAUGGAUACAUGGCUAUGAUUCUUGAGUAUGAAUGUUGAAAUAGCUACUAUGGGCCUUAUUAUGCAGUUAUAAAUAAAAGGGUUAAUUAUGUUUAAAGUACCUAUAAAUAAGUGAGCUUCCAACAUUGAUCCCUAUUUAAAUUUUAUUAAAUUUUUUAUCCCUAACCUUUUUUUCCAUUUGUAAGUUUGGUCCUUGCCGUCAAAUUGUGCUCACUAGGCUAACAGAAUGUUGACUCAGACAUGCCAUGUGGACAUUUCAAGUGACAUGGCUGUCAUGUGGUAAAUGACAUCAUAUGUUUUUGGUCCCUAUAAAAUUAGGAUUUUUUAAGUUUAGUCCUUACUUAAUUAUAAUAGUAUUUUUAGCCCAUAUAAAAAAUUAUGCACUCAGUUUUAGUCCAUACUAAAUCUAAAUUUGUUUAAUUAUACUUAAACUUUUAAGAUUUUGAACAAUUUUUUGCACAAGUGUUAAGAACAUUACGAAAAGUUCAUCUGCAAAAAAUUAUCUCAAAAUUUUAUUUCUGCGUCCAGAAUUUUGUUACUUUUAUUUUGAACUUUUGUCUAUUAAAAAAAUCCAUAUUUAAUUUAUUUCAUAUUAGAAAAUUCUAAAUUUAUUAAAUGAGUUGUUUGUAAUGUUCUAAACUUGUAUAAAAAAAAUCUUUAAAAAUUUAAGAGUUUAAGGAUAGUUACAAAUUGUCCUAUAAUUUUUGUCAAAGCCUAUCACUCUCCUUCGUUCUUUUUUAUUCUUCCAGAUCCAUAAAAUAUUUCACCCUACAAAUAUUUCCAGUCAUUCCCUGAAUUUGCCUGGGAAAAAAAGCAGAUAUGUGUUAUUGUUUCUCUUUGUUACUACUUCACUCUCUUCAAUCAUCUUUACUCCCACUCGGUUUCCCGAUCCGAACCUUGAAAAUUGAAUGGUUCGAUUUCUCUCUCGAAAAGUUUAUUGCUGGAUUUUUCAAUGGUGAAUAUUGUUGAGUUUUUGUGUGUUGAAGUUGACGUGUGAUUAAGUUGUUGAAAUUGAUGUCUUAGAUGAAUUUGGAAGCGAAAUUUAGAAGAGUGUCGCCAGCGUGAACGAGGUGGUGAAUAAAGUGGGAGAGAGUUUGGAUUUUUCACCACCUCGUUCACGCCGACGACGCUCUUCUAAAAACUCUUAAAUUUUUCAAUGAUUUUUUUAUACAAGUUUAGAACAUUACUAAAGGUUCGUUUACUAAAAUUUAGAAUUUUUUUACAUGAAAUAAAUUAAAUAUGAAUUUUUUUAAAAGACAAAAGUUCAAAAUAAAAGUAACAAAAAUCUGGACGCACGAAUAAAAUUUUGAGAUAAACUUUUCGUGAUGUUCUUAAUACUUGUGCAAAAAAUUGUUCAAAAUCUUAAAAGUUUAAGCAUAAUUUAACAAAUUUAGAUUUAGUAUGGACUAAAAUUGAGUGCAUAAUUGUUUUAUAUGGACUAAAAACACUAUUAUAAUUAAGUAAGGACUAAACUUAAAAGGUCUCAAUUUUAUAGGGACCAAAAACAUAUGAUGUCAUUUACCACAUGGCAGCCAUGUCACUUGAAAUGUCCACGUGACAUGUCUGAGUCUGCAUUCUGUUAGCCUAGUCAACACAGUUUGACGGCAAGGACCAAACUUACAAACGGAAAAAAACGUUGGGGAUGAAAAAUUUAAUAAAAUUUAAAUAGGGACCAAUGUUAAAAGCUCGCUUAUUUAUAGGGACCUUAAACAUAAUUAACCCUAAAUAAAAUGAUUAUCCAAAAACUUAGAGAUAUGUCUCAAUUGGAUAAAACUAAUAGGCAAAUCAAAAUAAUGAAUCUUUGAAAAAAAUAAAUUUAAAAAGCAUGAGAACAUACUCCCUCCGUUUCAAAAUAUAAACAAAUUUUAUUUUUUAGGUUCAUUCAAUUAAUGACGUAUGUGGUCCAUAUUAUGAAACUCAUACAUCAUUAAUUGAAUGAACCUAAAAACUAAAAUUUGCUUAUAUUUUGAGACGGAGGGAGUAUGAUGUUUCAAGUGAGAAAAAUUAUAAAGUUGUAAAUCGUGCAUAAUUAAAAUCAGGUUCACCUAAUACCUGUCUCGAUUUUAAACAUCCUGAGUCUAUAAUUUUUUGUAUGCCAUCGAAAAAAUAUAUUCUUUCGAUAUAAACAAAGUUGAUCAGAUUGUUGAUAUUCUUUUGAAGGAUCAAGAAAUAUUGUUUAUUUAUUACAAUAAAAUGUCUCUGCUCAAACAAAUUUGAGCAAUAAUGUAUUGUAAAGUUCAUAAUACUUUCAACCAUCACACUAACUCUUGUCUUUGUUUCAAGGGUAUAAUAGAGAGAGCAAUCGAGAAUGCAAGAUACAUAUGAUAUGUAUAUUUUUUUUUAAGAAAUACAUAUGAUAUGUAUUAACUUUGAACAAAUCUAUGCUCCAACCUUGAUAUAGUUUGCGUAUGCAGUAAAACUAUUGAAAUUUAAUUCUUAUCAUGUUCAAAAUCCUACACAAAAUAAACGAUUUAUUCAUAUUGUUGAUAAAUUCAUAUUCCAAUUUUAAAAAUCAACGACAACACUAGCACAUACAUUAGCUAUAAUUUUAUUAAAGCCUACUAUGUUCACAUGAAAUCAAACAAAUUUUUUAUUCUUUUGUGAUUUACCCUUUAUGUCAUUAAAAGUUACGUAAUAAUAGAAAAUUUGUAAAUUAAGUAAGUUUGUUUUUUAUGUUACCUCUUUACUAAGAAUACUAAAAAGACACAUAACACUUUGAUGUAUCUAAGACAAAUUGAAUUAUAAGUGUUCUAAAAAGACGAACACAACACACUCAAAUAAUUAAGACACAUUUAAUAAAGAUUAUAAUUUUAGGAAGGUAUUUUACUUCUCC
This 4037-nucleotide long non-coding RNA is filed under the name Medicago truncatula (barrel medic). RNAcentral describes it as "long non-coding RNA (MTRU_LNC003707)". Lineage: Eukaryota; Viridiplantae; Streptophyta; Magnoliopsida; Fabales; Fabaceae. The record is from RNAcentral.